AACAUGCUCCAAAGUGAGGAAUAACUGCCCGAAAGGGUAGCUAAUGCCGCAUAUGAUCUUCGGAUUAAAGGAUUUAUCCGCUUUGGGAGUGGCCCGCGUACGAUUAGGUAGUUGGUGAGGUAAAGGCUCACCAAGCCCACGAUCGUUAACUGGUCUGAGAGGAUGAUCAGUCAGACUGGAACUGAGACACGGUCCAGACUCCUACGGGAGGCAGCAGUGAGGAAUCUUCCACAAUGGGCGAAAGCCUGAUGGAGCGACGCCGCGUGCAG
Molecule: ribosomal RNA, 269 nt
Filed under: uncultured bacterium
Lineage: Bacteria
Description: partial 16S ribosomal RNA
Rfam family: Bacterial small subunit ribosomal RNA
Source: RNAcentral